GGGGUUGUAGCUCAGUGGUAGAGCACUUGCCUAGCAAGAGUGUGAGGAAUUGAGUUCAAUUCUCAGCAGCACAU
RNAcentral lists this transfer RNA (74 nucleotides) under Ictidomys tridecemlineatus (thirteen-lined ground squirrel). Its description in RNAcentral is "Spermophilus tridecemlineatus (thirteen-lined ground squirrel) tRNA". It matches the Rfam family "tRNA". From Rfam's summary of the family: Transfer RNA (tRNA) molecules are approximately 80 nucleotides in length. Their secondary structure includes four short double-helical elements and three loops (D, anti-codon, and T loops). Lineage: Eukaryota; Metazoa; Chordata; Mammalia; Rodentia; Sciuridae. The record is from Rfam by way of RNAcentral.